This 450-nucleotide ribosomal RNA is filed under the name uncultured bacterium. RNAcentral's name for it is "partial 16S ribosomal RNA". It matches the Rfam family "Bacterial small subunit ribosomal RNA", at positions 354 to 796 of the family's 1533-position model. The record is from RNAcentral.
GUGGGGAAUUUUGGACAAUGGGCGCAAGCCUGAUCCAGCAAUGCCGCGUGCAGGAAGAAGGCCUUCGGGUUGUAAACUGCUUUUGUACGGAACGAAACGGUCCGGGUUAAUACCCUGGGCUAAUGACGGUACCGUAAGAAUAAGCACCGGCUAACUACGUGCCAGCAGCCGCGGUAAUACGUAGGGUGCAAGCGUUAAUCGGAAUUACUGGGCGUAAAGCGUGCGCAGGCGGUUUUGUAAGACAGGCGUGAAAUCCCCGGGCUCAACCUGGGAAUUGCGCUUGUGACUGCAAGGCUGGAGUGCGGCAGAGGGGGAUGGAAUUCCGCGUGUAGCAGUGAAAUGCGUAGAUAUGCGGAGGAACACCGAUGGCGAAGGCAAUCCCCUGGGCCUGCACUGACGCUCUUGCACGAAAGCGUGGGGAGCAAACAGGAUUAGAAACCCCGGUAGUCC